RNAcentral lists this ribosomal RNA (406 nucleotides) under uncultured bacterium. RNAcentral's name for it is "bacterial SSU rRNA". It matches the Rfam family "Bacterial small subunit ribosomal RNA", at positions 29 to 423 of the family's 1533-position model. The record is from RNAcentral.
AAUCAACGCUGGCGGCGUGCCUAACACAUGCAAGUCGAACGCGAAAGUGGAGCAAUCCAUGAGUAGAGUGGCAAACGGGUGAGUAACGCGUGGGCGACCUACCUUCGAGUGGGGGAUAACCUUCCGAAAGGAGGGCUAAUACCGCAUGACAUCCCGUGUUUGGAUACACGGACAUCAAAGCCGGGGAUCGCAAGACCUGGCGCUUGGAGAGGGGCCCGCGUCCGAUUAGCUAGNGGUGAGGUAACGGCUCACCAAGGCUCCGAUCGGUAUCCGGCCUGAGAGGGCGGACGGACACACUGGAACUGAGACACGGUCCAGACUCCUACGGGAGGCAGCAGUGGGGAAUUGUUCGCAAUGGGCGCAAGCCUGACGACGCAACGCCGCGUGGAGGAUGAAGACUUCGGUC